Molecule: non-coding RNA, 113 nt
Organism: Acanthosepion pharaonis
Lineage: Eukaryota; Metazoa; Mollusca; Cephalopoda; Sepiida; Sepiidae
Source: the annotation of a GenBank genome assembly
UACAGCUAUAUCACGUUGAAAUACCGGUUUCUGUACGAUCAUCGAAGUUAAGUAGAGUCGAGCGUGGUCAGUACCUAGAUUGGGGACCACUUGUAAAUAGCAGGUGCCGUAUG